UGGUUCUCUUGGGAUGAGUGCUUGAAAGUCUCAUUGUGUGUGUGUGUGUGUGUGUGUGAUUUAUCAAGCUUGAAGGGAGGAGAGAGCGGGGCAUAGGGAGGCAGAUGACACCAGUGGCAAGCAGGCACUGUUCACUUCCAACCGGCUGCUUCUGCGUCGCUGUGUGUGUUAACUCCACGUCUGAACUAUAUGAGAUCACAGCAGCCUCUCCUCCCUGCAGACUGUUGGAACAAGGUUGGGGGGUGGACAACACCUCAAUUUUUUGGGAGCGUUCUGAAGGAACCGGAGGAAAUGUGGAGCUUGACUUGAACUCCUGGAUGUGCAUUGGCGCUGGCAGUUGUCUUAUGCAUCUGUCAUUCUAGGGUCUCGGGAAGGUUAGUUACCCAGACACUGAACCGGUCACAUCCCAAAGGGCCCACUUGGUGUCCAACCACAGCUAAAUUCCAGCGUGGACCAACCUGCUUGCACGGUCACAGCUGCUGGAUGGAGCACAAGAAGCUCAAACAGAAGAUGAUGCAGACAGAACCGUGGACUUUGGCCGUGGUGGGGAGGGUUCCUGGCACCGUGAUUUGACGCACAAAGACACAGAAAAAUCACAUUGCCAGGGAUUUCCACUCCCUCACGGCUGACCGGGUUCACCCCAAUUGGUAAAAUUGGACAAUGGCCCACUUAAGAAAAAAAAAAUAAUAAAAAAAAAUUUUGAAAUCAUUUUUGACUACACCUGCUCCAACACAAGAGCUGUACCAAAGGUCUGCCAUUUUUGUUUGUGUGUAAUCUUGCUUCCUAAAAACUAACGACAAUGUGUGACGGAGCAUUUAUUUUCAUAUUUAAGGACUUUUUUGGCUUCUAGAGUUUCCCCACGUCCGUCUUGUACAACUGGUUGUCUCCUUAGUGCCGUCUGUCCGGCAGAUUAGCCAAUCCACUCAUCUCUCCCUUGUGUCCCUUUGGUCCCCUCUUUUCAUGUUCUUGUUAGAUAAUUGCUUUGUGUUGUUGUUGACUUAUCCAUACAUCCAUUUUCUUCUGCUUAUCUGAGGUCGGGUCGCGGGGGCAGCAGCUUAAGCAGGGAACCCCAGACUUCCUUCUCCCCAGCCACUUCGUCCAGUUCUUGUGGCGGAAUCCCGAGGCAUUCCCAGGCCAAGUGAGAGACGUAGUGUCUCCAGCGUAUCCUGGGUCGUCCCCGGGGCCGGUGGGAGGCGUCCAGCGGGUAUCCUAACCAGAUGCCUGAGCCACCUCAUCUGGCUCCUCUCAAUGCGGAGGAGCAACAGCUCAACUCUGAGCCCCUCAUGGAUGACCGAGCUUCUCACCCUACCUCUAUCUCAUCCUAUCUCUAUCUCUUGGCUGAUUUUGAUCACAAGCUAGGAAAAACGUUCAAAUUUGGCCCAAUUGUCAGGUCGUGUGUACCUUGCUUUAGUUAGUUGACAGAAUUAGACACAAGCUACACAAUCACUUUCCAGAAAACCUUAUCGAGAGCUGGCUCAUGGAUCAAAGUGCAGAUGGAGGAAUUUAUGUAUACAUUUAUUUUGUUGUUUAUGUUGUGCAGUGAUCCACCAAAUCCAGCUGAUGGAAGUGUGGUGAAAAGUGUGGUUGUGUGUGGCAGUUUUCACCCAAUUUGGCAUGUGCAUUACUGCCACCAACAGGACUGGAGUUUAAUAGUAUUUUGAUACUGCUGUUCAGGAAUGUUUGGCCUACUCAGUGCCAUUCUAUUUUUAUUUUUUAUUUUUUUAAAGGCAGACCUUUUGGUACAGCUCUUGUAUUGGAUCUUAUUUUAUUGAGCUAAUCUUCCUUUUAUUUGUGGCUGAUGAAUCUAUGUUGGAAUAGUGUUAAAAUAGCAACACGUUCUUCUUCAUGCACAUGACAUAAAAAAGAGUGGGACUAUUUUGACAUGUGAAAAGAAGGUGAGGAAUCUCCAGUGCAUGCGCAUGAGGCCCAACCGCUUGCUUAAGGCACAGAGCUUAGCUAAUUGGUGAGCAUUGAUCCCUGCUAUGUUUUGUUCACAGUGGCUAAGUUCAGUGCCUGAGGUGAAAUGGUUGAUUCGACUGAGAGGAUUUGUUCUGGUGAAUGGAAAGAACUUGAUGAUCUCAGAUAUGGAGGAAGGAGGUGGAGUGAGACCAAAGGGAGGGAGUGAUCCAGAGUGUGAGCUGUACUUGAUUUAAAUGCAACUCUACACCAUUUGUGGAUAUAUCUGACAAAAAUGAUGUAUGUCACAUAUAUUUUAAAGCAUUUAAGGGUGAUGUUGGAUGACAAAACUCCACAAGUGCUUUCACAGUUGGAGGAAUGUGGUACUGAAUGUUGGACUUGUUUAGGUGUGUCCGUGUUCAUGUGAGAUGAUGUCUCUGGGCAGCUGUGCCAGUUUUAAGUUGCCACACGCAGGUCUCCAAUGAACAGGAAACUGGCGCGUUGCAAUUCUGCUGUAAUCAAAUCAGGCAAGCAAAUGUAACGAAAUAGGUUAAAAUAUUGCAUUCGUUAUUUAAUGCAAUGUUCCAUCCAACCAUUUUCAAUAGCACUUUGUCUUCAUUUAGGUUGUGGGUGAGCUGGAGCCUAUCCCAGCUGAUUGGACACAUAUAGACAAAAAUAUUCCCACCUAUGGACAAUGCACAAUCUCAUUUAACCUAACAUACAAGUUUUUGAAAUAUGGGAGGAAGCCAGAGUAAUGGGGUAUAUGUUGCGAUGGCGCGUUGACGGAAGGUCGUGUUGAGUCGAGUCGCGCUGCGCCUCGAGUUGAAAAAUGUUCAACUCAGGAGCACCGUCAAUGUGAAGUCAGAUGCCACGUCCAAUAGGUUGGGAAGAACAAAAGAACAAAACGAAGAAAAGUGUGGUGUGGUCACCAGUGCUCGGGAGUGUCCUGUCCAUUCAAGAGGAGCUUGAGGUAUGUUCACGUACUUUUAAUACAAUACGGCUCGCAAGCAGGCAACAUAAUGUUAUGUAGCCGAGCAAGGUAGUGCUAGCACUAACGUUUGUAUGUAAAUGUUGACUCAUGCUCGGUUCGGUAAAGGUUCAGUAAAUUGGUUCAUGCGCGUGAAUAAAUGUUGACAACAGCGACCAUGUAUGUUGGCAACGGCAAGCACGGUAGGCAAAGCGGCGGUCACACAUACACAAUCCUAAUGGUCGAUGUCGAGGUGCGCUGUUGGAGAGUUGUCGUUGCUAUGUCACACUACACGGAAGAUAUAAAAAAAAAUCUGACUUUUCAUUUUGCCGUCGUCAGGCUAUCGUAGGGCCAAAUCGUUGGUUGUGGAUUAUGUCACACUACAAGAAAUGUUGUCGUUCCCAACAAAAUUUGUCCAGCACGAUCUGGAUACUCGGCCCCGUUAUGUUAUCGGGGCUAAAAUCCUGUAGUCUGAUCUAGGCAUAAUGAGGACAAGCACGAUAGAAAAUGGAUGGAUUAUAAUAUUGCUCAUAUUGUAUUGAGCAGCCAGCUUCUUUCCCAUGUCACAAUAAGUUGCAUUUCUAUGUUUAUUAGUUUUCAUCCUAUUACUUUUCCACUUUGCCAUCACUGGUACCCUUCUAUGGUGGCAUCGCAAAAUGAUGAAGUAUUGAUUUACCGAAGAUUUAGGUUAAAUUCCACUCUACUGUUUUCUCAAAACCUGCAGGAGCAGGGACUCAGUACUAUGAACAAACAUUCCCUUUAUGAACAUAAAUUGUCUUGUUGCAGCUAGGCUGUCUGAGUAAUGAUCUUUAGCUUCUUAUCCGCAGGCUAAUAAAUUAUUUAGUGCAUGCAAGAGCCUAGAUCUCCUUCGACGAUGGCUCCUUGUAUUUCCAUGUUCUCUUUUAUUGUACUAAAAUCAAUAUGGUUACUUGACCCCCAUAAGGAAUUUCUGACGCCAGCUGUGAGAGGCUUAAAAAUCCGCUCCGGUCUAACACAGGAACAUAUGUCGUAAUGUGGGGGGAAUGUUGGGUAACAGUGAUAGCAUUGGCUCUCUCUGAUAAACAAUAAAAGGUCAACCUGAGACAGUUGCUUCAUCCGUGGAGCCAUUGUUGCUGCAUUCUGCCAGCCGCGUAGGCUUUAGAAAAUCAAUGGUUGAAGAUAUUUCCAGUAUUACAUGUAACUUGACAUCACAAUACCCGCUGAAAUGAAUACUGAGAUGUUGUCAUCCAGCCAAAAUGUCAACGAGAGAAAUCAGUUGAGGACAUGAUGUUGGUUAAAACAUCACAAUAUACCACUGAUUUCCAACCACUGUUCCACAGCACUUUAGUGUGCCAUGAGAGAUUAUUAUCCAAUUUCACAUACUAGUCUAAAAAUUAUUGUUAUAUUACAACUGUUAACUGGUUACGAGAGGAAGCUGUAGUACCUGGAAAAACCAAGCUUAGAUUCGACCCUGCAACCUUUUGACUGUGAGGAGGAUGUGCUGACCACUAAUUUACUGUGCUGCUCUUGAACCAAUAUUAUGUGAUCGAUUGAUAUUGACCUGCUCCAGAGGCACACUUGUGUGCCGUUAUACUAUAUUGUGUUUUUGUAUAAUAAUAAUAAUAUUAAUGGUUUCUAUAAUUAUUAUGUGAUUGUGGUAGUAUUAAAAGGGAGUGUGCAAAAACCAAAAAAUAAAUCACCUUUUGCCAUAUUUGUUAAAAGAGUCGUAAUGAUUUGACGGAGUUCUUAAAGGCACUGGAUGUUUUGGGGCUGUCCUGGUUCAUAGGUACCUGUGCCCCUGGAUUGGCAGAUCUGGGUGCUGAAGCCCCUUUUUAAGAAGGGGGACCGGAGGGUGUGUUCCAACUAUAGGGGGGUCACACUCCUCAGCCUCCCUGGUAAGGUCUAUUCAGGGGUUCUGGAGUUGAGAGUCCUUCAGAAAGUCAAACCUCAGAUUCAGGAUGAGCAGUGUGGGGGUUUUUCCUGGCUGUGCAACAGUGGGCUAGCUAUAGGCCCUCAGCAGGGUUGUGGAAUUGGAGAAGGCAUUCGACCAUGUCUCUUGGGGAGUCUUGUGUUUGGAGCUCUGGGAAUUUGGGGUACCAAGCCCCCUGUUCAGUCCCUGUACAAGCGUUAUCAGAUCUUUGGUCUGCAAAUAAUCCAGUAAUUUGGAUUAUUUUUCUGUGAUGGUUGGACUCAGCAAAGGCUGCCCUUUGUCUGCGAUUUUGUUCAUAACCUUUAUGGACAGAAUUUAUAGGCACAGCCGAGGCGUGGAUGGGGUCCAGUUUGAUGCCCUCAGUAUUACGUCUCUCUUUUUUGCAGAUUAUAUGGUUGUGAUGAUUUCUUCAGCUCUUGCUGGAGCGGUUUGCAACCGAGUGUGAAGCAGUCACAGAAUGGUGGAGUGCCCUCUCCAGGUCGGGAAUGAGAUGCUGCUCCAAACGGAGGAGUUCGGUAUCUCAGGGACUUUUUCACAAGUGUGGGAAUAAUGGAGCGGGUGUCCGGGCUCUCCCUUAGAGAUAGGGUGAGAAGCUCGGUCAUCUGGGAGGGGCUCAGAGUCGAGCUGCUGCUCCUCCACAUCGAGAGGGGCCAGAUGAGAUGACUCGGGCAUCUUGUUAGGAUGCCUCCGGUCUUCCCUGCUUAAGCUACUGCCCCCGCGACUUGACCCUAGAUAAGCGCAAGAAGGUGGAUGGAUGGAUGGAUGGAUGGAGUAGUAUAUGAUGAAUAUGAUCUUUCGCCACAUUUUGUGCCUUUAAUUUGAUACACAUUACAUGAAACCACCAUUCCCGGGGAUAAACAACCGAUUAGAGACAGAAGGCGUGACAUACGAUGUAUCAAUUACCUGACCUGUUACCUCGUUACCCCAGAAAAUCACUUUAUGAGUCAUGGACUGUUAUUGAAACACUUAAAGUAAAUAUUUUAUGUUAUAUUGGUUUUUUUUUUUUGUCUCAUAAUGACGGUUUUAACAAAUAUGACUAAAAGUUAUUAUUAUUAUUAUUUUUAAUUGCAAACUCCCACCUAAGAGUUGAAGUCAGGCCUCAUGCAGACCAAGGUACCAAAUGUCUGUUACAAGUCGCGUAGCAGUUGUACAUUAACAGCAUAUAAUUCAGGCAGUUUUCUAUUGUUUUUAUAUUUGACUGAAUUAUUUAAAUCUUGUCAAAUUUAGCAAGCCUACUAUUGGCAACACCAAAGCACCUAGUGGGCUGUGCCCUCCCGUGCCUACUGAACUGGUAUCAGUGUUAGAACUAAAAACUGGCUCAGUUCAGCAGGAACAGGAGUGGAGCCUAAUGUCGAGAAGGAGAAGUGACAUCACCACCAUCCAGAGAGCCAAACGGUCAGUGCUUGAAUCACAAACUCCCAACCAUCAGAUCGCACUCUGUCAGGAGUUCUUGGCCCUCAUCAGAUUCAAGAUGACAGCACUGGGCCCAGAAGUGUUCACAAGGAUGUUGCAGCUGCAGAUGACUGUCACUGCAGCUAUGAAUGUUUCUUGAGCUGAACAUUUUGUUGCUUGGUAGGUAGCAUCUGCACGCUUGUGUGAAUACUGUUACAUAUAAAUGCGGUUGAUCUG
Molecule: long non-coding RNA, 6401 nt
Organism: Phyllopteryx taeniolatus (common seadragon)
Lineage: Eukaryota; Metazoa; Chordata; Actinopteri; Syngnathiformes; Syngnathidae
Exons: 2
Source: RefSeq, a predicted model, not a curated record